This 70-nucleotide transfer RNA is filed under the name Sphingomonadales bacterium. RNAcentral's name for it is "tRNA-Ser". The record is from RNAcentral. Lineage: Bacteria; Pseudomonadati; Pseudomonadota; Alphaproteobacteria; Sphingomonadales.
CGCGAGGUGCGAUGGCGCCAGCGGAAUCAUAAUCCGCGUGUCGGGGGUUCGAGUCCCUCCUCCGCUACCA